UACGAGAGGCCCAAACGUUAUUCGGAUUUACUGGGCUUAAAGAGUUCGUAGGCGGCGCAGAAAGUCGGGUGUGAAAGCCCUCGGCUCAACCGAGGAAUUGCGCCCGAAACUACUGUGCUUGAGGGUCCUAGAGGUGAGCAGAACUGAUGGUGGAGCGGUGAAAUGCGUUGAUAUCAUCAGGAAUACCGGAGGCGAAGGCGGCUCACUGGGGGUCUUCUGACGCUGAGGAACGAAAGCCAGGGGAGCGAACGGG
This 253-nucleotide ribosomal RNA is filed under the name uncultured bacterium. Its description in RNAcentral is "partial 16S ribosomal RNA". It matches the Rfam family "Bacterial small subunit ribosomal RNA", at positions 524 to 776 of the family's 1533-position model. The record is from RNAcentral.